Lotus japonicus is the source of this 815-nucleotide long non-coding RNA. RefSeq lists it as uncharacterized. The record is from RefSeq and is a predicted model, not a curated record. NCBI's taxonomy places the organism in Eukaryota, Viridiplantae, Streptophyta, Magnoliopsida, Fabales, Fabaceae. The transcript has 2 exons.
CCAAAUCAAUGGGAUUUUCCACUAACACUUUCUCUCUCUUCGUGGUCUCCACCUCAAUCAGAUUUGACUUCUCCUCUCUUCCCUUCAUUCACUCCCUCAACCGCUCUCUCUCUCUCUCUUCCACCCUUCUCAUUCACGUUUCUUUCCCUCUCUCUCCCAUAAAAACCUUUUCUUCUUCUUCUUUCCUUUCUCUGCAACACCACCAACACCUUCUUCUUCUUCAAUUUAUUUUUCCUGCAACUCAACACCACCACCACGUGCCAAAACCGCGAGCACCACCACCUCCAUGACUCCUUCACGCAGCAACCACCACUGUCCCUGUUCUGUUUUUCCUCACCACCAAAACCCUAGCCGCCGCCCUUUUCCUCCGAUCUCCGGCGAACCACUAGGUUUUUGGAGAAACCUACACCACCACUGAACUCCCCUCCAUCGAUUCGAUGAUCGGCCGCCGCCGGCGAGCUUUGUUCUGAGAAAGGAGGCCAAUUUCUUGAAGCUUUCAACCUCCCCUUCCUGAAUCCAAGGCCCAAUCAUCAGGCUUGCUGGUCAUCAGAGGAAGAGAAGGCCAUGACCAGAGGAAGAAGUGAAGCUCAGUCCCAUGACCAUGAGACUUGAGGUAGAAGGAGGAAGAACUGAACACUGUGAUUAGAAAUUAUAUCAUAAUAGAAAAAAAUAGGAUUGUUGGGUUAUCCAUGUAUUAGUGAGUAAAAUUGGAAAAUAGAAUUACUUAUGCUGCUGUAUAAACUUAAUAUGUAGACAACUCAUCUGUAGAAAAAUGAUUUUUGGUUUGAUAUGUAUGUACAUGAAGACAUUUUCUA